Molecule: small nuclear RNA, 105 nt
Organism: Artibeus jamaicensis (Jamaican fruit-eating bat)
Lineage: Eukaryota; Metazoa; Chordata; Mammalia; Chiroptera; Phyllostomidae
Source: RefSeq, a predicted model, not a curated record
CUGCUUUCUUCAGCAGCACAUACUCUAAAAUUAAAAUGAUACUGUGGAUUAGCAUGGCUCCUGCCCAAGGAUGACACACAGAUUCAUGAAGUAUUCCAUAUUUUG